UCUUGGACUCCCGGGUUUAGUGUGCUGCUGAUGGCUUGGAAAUCAGUGGAAACCCCUGACUUUCCUCUGGACUGUCCCAUGAAAACCAGGACCCUGGUCCAGAAAUCAGGCACAGGCAUGACUGAAUAACACUUACUUGUAGGUUUGUGUUUUAGUCGUUUGAAUAGUUUGUUUCUUCCUCCUCUAACUAUAAAAUAUCAUGACUUAAAAAAAAAAAACUUUUAAGUAGGGAAGAUAGUAUUUUUGUUGAAGAAUAGACUUGGGGGUUCUCUGGCAGACUUCUCAGGUAGUUCUCAGAGCUAAGAUGCUUUAUUCUAAGGAAGAUUGGGGAACCUAAAAGGUCUGGCAAUGUGAUAGGAAGGUUUUAAGUUGACUUUGGAACCAGUGCCCAGUACACUGUCUGCAUUGGCUCAGAGAAGGGUCUGCUGAGAAAAGGUUGACACGUCCGUCCGUCGGUCUGUCUGUCCGUCUGGCAUCCUAGGACAGUUAUGGCACUAACAAUCAAAACUCAACGGAAAACGUGACUCACAAUUAAAUAAAGUGGCCACCAUCACCUGCUACCCUUGUGGUGUCAACAAAGCAGUAUGGGGAGAUUUGUAACAAACAGCAGCCCACCUUAGAGCUUCUCCUUCAGGGCACAGAAGAACCCAUGACCCUGGAGACUUACCAAAAUAUCUGGAGUUGUGCUAAAUAAAAAAAGAGAUGGGUAAACAGGUUUCUGUAAGAGCGAACAGGCCAAAGGUGAGAGAGGAGGAUCUGUCCUCUGCAUUUGAUGGCUGUGUCUCCUGCAUGCUGCAUCCUGGCACCCGAACACAUGGUUGCUUCUCCUUGUGGAUGUGGCCGGGGUCUUUGCCCUGAUUGACCAGGGGGACGCUCCAGAGGGACACACUUCAGUUUAGUACAAGGUGAACCAAUACUACUCAGUGUAGGAAGAGGGCCGCCUGAGGUCAAAGAUGCCCCACUUGGCCUGCACUCACCGAGAAGUGUUCAGACAGGAUGUCCCUUGGCAUCCAUAA
Molecule: long non-coding RNA, 1016 nt
Organism: Mastomys coucha (southern multimammate mouse)
Lineage: Eukaryota; Metazoa; Chordata; Mammalia; Rodentia; Muridae
Exons: 2
Source: RefSeq, a predicted model, not a curated record